UACGGAGGGUCCAAGCGUUAUUCGGAAUUACUGGGCGUAAAGCGCAUGUAGGUGGUUUCUUAAGUCAGCUGUGAAAGCCCUGGACUCAAUCCAGGAAGUGCAUUUGAUACUGGGAGACUAGAGUGCAGGAGAGGAAAGCGGAAUUCCAGGUGUAGAGGUGAAAUUCGCAGAUAUCUGGAGGAACAACAGAGGCGAAGGCGGCUUUCUGGACUGCAACUGACACUGAGAUGCGAAAGCGUGGGGAGCAAACAGG
Molecule: ribosomal RNA, 253 nt
Filed under: uncultured bacterium
Lineage: Bacteria
Description: partial 16S ribosomal RNA
Rfam family: Bacterial small subunit ribosomal RNA
Source: RNAcentral